UUCAUAUAGUUUUGGAAUGCUCCUGGGUAUCAUCUAUCCAUCAGGAUAGUUCCUCUGUGGCAUUCGCAAGACUGGUCUCAUAAAAUUUCACCUAAAACCCUGUAAACCAUUGAUUCUACUAGUUCCGUUUUUUUUUUCUUUAAAAAAAAAAAAACUGGCCCCACAACGUUUUUUUUUCUCGCUGAAUACUUUCUUAUUAUGUACAUGUAGCGGUUAUGGGGGUCGAUAUAAGAGUUUUUUUAUUUUUGCGGCUUUCACUUCUACGCCAACCAGGCAUGCUAGGAAUGAUUGCCGCGAAGUAUACCACCUUAUAUUAUCUCCCCCUUAUCGCAUUUUUUAUUCUAAC
This 346-nucleotide ribosomal RNA is filed under the name Eimeria weybridgensis. Its description in RNAcentral is "partial small subunit ribosomal RNA". The record is from RNAcentral. Lineage: Eukaryota; Apicomplexa; Conoidasida; Eucoccidiorida; Eimeriidae.